GGGGAGGCAGGGAGGUGCACGGAAGAGCCACGGCACGCACAGCAACGGAGGGGAGAUACCCCCCAACAAUCCCAAGGAAUUCUCCGGCAAUCUGCUUAAACCAGGAAAUUAUCAUGAGGAGAACCAGCUAGAAAGGGGAUGGAAGAGGAUCAUGAUGACUAUGCCACAUUCUCAGCCUCAGCUCCUCGAACUCCCUCUGACUUCAAAGGAAACUGCAUGAAGAGGGAGGGCACACAAUAGGAGAAUUGGUCUGAUUAUCCCCCUCUGUUUAGAAAUAGGUAAAGAUUAUAGAUACGUUUUCUUCUUUCUGUGCUUUGGACUAUAUAAUGUCAAUUAUCUCAAGCAAAACCCCCUACUGAGGUUAAUGCAUAGAUUUGGAUUAUACCAAGACUGGAAACAAGAUAUUAAUAAUAAUCCAUAACAGUGUGAGUGUGACAUAAUGAAAUGCAUAUUUAUUUUCAUUUAGUUGGUACAAUAAAAAAAGUAAAUUACUUGAGAGACUUCAAUUUUAUAUAUAAUGUACCAUGCAUGAUCUUUUUUGCUCUUCCCUCACCACUUUGUAUUAUGAAUGGAGUAAUUAAAAAGAGUCUACUUCUUUCCUAUUCUACUAUAGCACAUUUUGCCCCUUUAAAAGUAUUUGUCUGUUUAUGAAUGUUUGUAUGUAUUCAUUGAUUAUUUAAACCCACGUCUGAAAAUGAAAUUGUAAUGCUAAAGGCUAAAUGAAUGAAUUAGCCUGAGCUGCUAAUUAAAAGACCAUACACAAAGUAUUAACCGGGAACCACUUUUGGACUUUUCAUUCCCAACCCAAAUGAAAAGGCAAGCAUAAUAUUCCCACAUCACUUCUGAAAAUGAUGUCAGGAAAUGUUUUCUCAGAGUCAGCUACUGGUCAAGACUUACACAGCAAGCUAAACAAAAUAAUGAAGGAUCAGGGAUUCUGGAAGGGCCAAAAGUUCGAACAGGAGACCUUUAGCCCUUCUGCUAGGAAUGCAUAAUAUACUUCCUAUUUGUUUGAUAGGUGCUUACCACUCCCUGAAAGCUAAAGCAUUUAUAACUUCCAUUUUAGGGACUGAAGUGUUCUGGCCCAGUCUUGCUAUUUAGGAUAAUUUUCCUUAGAAGUGAAUCAAAUACAAUUUGAACUGCCCAAUGAAAAUAACACCAACAAAAUCCCCAAAGGACCAGUCUACUGAAAGCUGUUUUAUUAAGCUUCCAGAAUUUGGGAUUAUCCAAAACUACAAAAGAAUUAUAUAAAACUAUGAAUGAAUUUCAUGAAGGUUGGCUUCAAUAAAGACUUUGAUAAAAGACUUCUUUUUUUAAAGUCUUUAAUAAAGACUCCAUUUCUCUUAUGAGAGUCUAGAUAGAUCAUACAGUUCCCUAUCAGCCAUAUGACAUCCACAUUCCAAUGAUAGCUGGAGGUUUAACCCAACAAAUGCCUGAGUUUGAGCUAUUUCUGUUCACAAAUAGAGAAGAUUUCAGGUAAGUAACAUGAAGGUAUUUUUUUUCCAAUUCUAAAAUGGUUUAAAAAUAUGUAAAAUAUAAUGGAAUUUAAUUGAAUGACUAAAGCCCCAAGCUUUAGUGGUUAGUCAUUUUUAGCCAGCUUUUAGGCUUAGCUUACCAAUGCUCCAAGAAAACAGAAAGAAACUUGAAUGCAAACCUUCCAGCCAGGUAACUCUAUAGUUCAUAAGUGGCAAUGAGUGACGUCUUCUCAGGAAAAUCUUGGAAAUUACAAAUGUUGCACACUUUAUUAAUCCAUGUUUAACCUGAAGCCCCCUUUUCUUCCUGUGUUCAGAAUUUCUAUUACUAACUAUACUAUGUUGAAGUUUAUAUGACAGGCCAUUUCAACACUUUUGUUUAGUUAAAUGGAAGUGCAUCACUUUUAAAGAAAAACCCUAUUGCCAAAAAAUAUAAACAACCCUAACUUUGAUUAAUAUAAAUAUUUAAAAACCAGAACAUUCUGUUACAUCUUACAAAAACAAUUCUGAUGUAGCUGAUGGGAAAGAAAAAGUGCUUUCAUACAUUAGACAAAUCCAACAAAAUACAGCUGCAGAACAAAUUUUAAGUAAAUAUGAAUUGUUUGUCUUUUCACAGGGCUACGAUAUUUACUUAAUGGAGUUGUUUUAGCACACUUUAAGUUUCAUUAGUAAAAAUGGAAGGCUUUUUUUUUUUAGUUUUAGUUCUGAAGAGUUUGAUUUAAAUUUCAAAGCCCUUUAAUUAAAAAAAAACACCAUUACAAUUAUUCCUUCUCCCUGGUUUAGAGUUUUGCUAAUAAAACUCUGGACAAGAGAUGUGUGAAAUGAAUAGAUGAAGAAAAACGUUGACAGCAAAAGCGAGGUCUGGAGGGUGAAGUUAGUUUAUUAGGCCCGGUUUGUCACGAAUGGCCCUGCUGCACAUAUAAAAGCAAAUCCCUCUACCUUAGAAGAUUAAUUCUGAAGGAGGCACUCUUGGG
Manis pentadactyla (Chinese pangolin) is the source of this 2443-nucleotide long non-coding RNA. RefSeq lists it as uncharacterized. Lineage: Eukaryota; Metazoa; Chordata; Mammalia; Pholidota; Manidae. The transcript is spliced from 3 exons. The record is from RefSeq and is a predicted model, not a curated record.